GGUUUCGUGGUGUAGUUGGUUAUCACGUCAGUCUAACAGUUCGAGGUUCACUGAAGGUCUCCGGUUCAAGUCCGGGCGAAAUCA
Molecule: transfer RNA, 84 nt
Filed under: Colletotrichum fructicola Nara gc5
Lineage: Eukaryota; Fungi; Ascomycota; Sordariomycetes; Glomerellales; Glomerellaceae
Description: tRNA-Val for anticodon AAC
Rfam family: tRNA
About the family: Transfer RNA (tRNA) molecules are approximately 80 nucleotides in length. Their secondary structure includes four short double-helical elements and three loops (D, anti-codon, and T loops). Further hydrogen bonds mediate the characteristic L-shaped molecular structure. tRNAs have two regions of fundamental functional importance: the anti-codon, which is responsible for specific mRNA codon recognition, and the 3' end, to which the tRNAs corresponding amino acid is attached (by aminoacyl-tRNA synthetases). tRNAs cope with the degeneracy of the genetic code in two manners: having more than one tRNA (with a specific anti-codon) for a particular amino acid; and 'wobble' base-pairing, i.e. permitting non-standard base-pairing at the 3rd anti-codon position.
Source: Rfam by way of RNAcentral